RNAcentral lists this ribosomal RNA (481 nucleotides) under Lactobacillus gasseri. RNAcentral's name for it is "bacterial SSU rRNA". It matches the Rfam family "Bacterial small subunit ribosomal RNA", at positions 28 to 480 of the family's 1533-position model. The record is from RNAcentral. Lineage: Bacteria; Bacillati; Bacillota; Bacilli; Lactobacillales; Lactobacillaceae.
GACGAACGCUGGCGGCGUGCCUAAUACAUGCAAGUCGAGCGAGCUUGCCUAGAUGAAUUUGGUGCUUGCACCAAAUGAAACUAGAUACAAGCGAGCGGCGGACGGGUGAGUAACACGUGGGUAACCUGCCCAAGAGACUGGGAUAACACCUGGAAACAGAUGCUAAUACCGGAUAACAACACUAGACGCAUGUCUAGAGUUUAAAAGAUGGUUCUGCUAUCACUCUUGGAUGGACCUGCGGUGCAUUAGCUAGUUGGUAAGGUAACGGCUUACCAAGGCAAUGAUGCAUAGCCGAGUUGAGAGACUGAUCGGCCACAUUGGGACUGAGACACGGCCCAAACUCCUACGGGAGGCAGCAGUAGGGAAUCUUCCACAAUGGACGCAAGUCGGAUGGAGCAACGCCGCGUGAGUGAAAAAGGGUUUCGGCUCGUAAAGCUCUGUUGGUAGUGAAGAAAGAUAGAGGUAGUAACUGGCCUUUAUU